RNAcentral lists this ribosomal RNA (460 nucleotides) under uncultured bacterium. RNAcentral describes it as "partial 16S ribosomal RNA". It matches the Rfam family "Bacterial small subunit ribosomal RNA", at positions 338 to 795 of the family's 1533-position model. The record is from RNAcentral.
CCUACGGUUGGCUGCAGUGAGGAAUUUUGGUCAAUGGACGAGAGUCUGAACCAGCCAAGUAGCGUGAAUGAUGACUGCCCUAUGGGUUGUAAACUUCUUUUAUAUGGGAAUAAAAUGUUCCACGUGUGGGAUUUUGUAUGUACCAUAUGAAUAAGGAUCGGCUAACUCCGUGCCAGCAGCCGCGGUAAUACGGAGGGGCCGAGCGUUAUCCGGAUUGACUGGGUUUAAAGGGAGCGUAGGGGGAUUGUUAAGUCAGUUGUGAAAGUUUGCGGCUCAACCGUAAAAUUGCAGUUGAAACUGGCAGUCUUGAGUACAGUAGAGGUGGGCGGAAUUCGUGGUGUAGCGGUGAAAUGCUUAGAUAUCACGAAGAACUCCGAUUGCGAAGGCAGCUAACUGGACGGCAACUGACACUGAGGUUCGAAAGUGUGGGUAUCAAACAGGAUUAGAUACCCUUGUAGUC